Molecule: ribosomal RNA, 895 nt
Filed under: uncultured bacterium
Lineage: Bacteria
Description: bacterial SSU rRNA
Rfam family: Bacterial small subunit ribosomal RNA
Source: RNAcentral
AGAGUUUGAUCCUGGCUCAGGACGAACGCUGGCGGCGCGCCUAACACAUGCAAGUCGAACGAGAGAGAGGGAGCUUGCUUCCUCGAUCGAGUGGCGAACGGGUGAGUAACGCGUGAGGAACCUGCCUCAAAGAGGGGGACAACAGUUGGAAACGACUGCUAAUACCGCAUAAGCCCACGACCCGGCAUCGGGAAGAGGGAAAAGGAGCAAUCCGCUUUGAGAUGGCCUCGCGUCCGAUUAGCUGGUUGGUGAGGUAACGGCCCACCAAGGCGACGAUCGGUAGCCGGACUGAGAGGUUGAACGGCCACAUUGGGACUGAGACACGGCCCAGACUCCUACGGGAGGCAGCAGUGGGGAAUAUUGCACAAUGGGGGAAACCCUGAUGCAGCGACGCCGCGUGGAGGAAGAAGGUCUUCGGAUUGUAAACUCCUGUUGUUGAGGAAGAUAAUGACGGUACUCAACAAGGAAGUGACGGCUAACUACGUGCCAGCAGCCGCGGUAAAACGUAGGUCACAAGCGUUGUCCGGAAUUACUGGGUGUAAAGGGAGCGCAGGCGGGCGAUCAAGUUGGAAGUGAAAUCCAUGGGCUCAACCCAUGAACUGCUUUCAAAACUGGUCGUCUUGAGUAGUGUAGAGGUAGGCGGAAUUCCCGGUGUAGCGGUGGAAUGCGUAGAUAUCGGGAGGAACACCAGUGGCGAAGGCGGCCUACUGGGCACCAACUGACGCUGAGGCUCGAAAGUGUGGGUAGCAAACAGGAUUAGAUACCCUGGUAGUCCACACCGUAAACGAUGAUUACUAGGUGUUGGGAGAUUGACCCUCUCAGUGCCGCAGUUAACACAAUAAGUAAUCCACCUGGGGAGUACGACCGCAAGGUUGAAACUCAAAGGAAUUGACGG